Molecule: long non-coding RNA, 970 nt
Organism: Polyodon spathula (Mississippi paddlefish)
Lineage: Eukaryota; Metazoa; Chordata; Actinopteri; Acipenseriformes; Polyodontidae
Exons: 3
Source: RefSeq, a predicted model, not a curated record
CAAAAACGUGAGCUGUGUAGUCAAAUAAAUUGUGACACUGAAGAGAUGGGCUUUGAUUCACAGAACUGGUGAAGCAGGAGUAAGAAAUCGCGCGUGAUGGAGUGAAGUCGAGAGAAUGCAGCCCGAGUGUGCUCUUACUGCUGAACAAGCCUUCAGUGGAAACGGUAUCAGUUACAGUGGUUGAAGGUACCAGUAUAUCAAACAUCAGAAACAGGAUUUCAAAGAAUGACCCAUUCCCCACCACAGCUCAGGAGAACGGAAGGCCAGUGGAUGUCCUCUGAUCCCACAACCAAUCCAAUUGCAUCUUUGCACCCAGGAGAGCAGAUGUCAGUGAGCUACCAACAUCCGGACAACAACCAGGCCUGAAGGUGCCUGGCCAGCAGGGUUCACUCUAGUGCGAUGAAGAGAAACAGUCCCUGCUGGUUUUGCCUACCUAACCCUCGGGAGCACUAGAGCCACUGCAGAGCUCUCUGUAUAAUCCUCGGCAAAGACUGGACACAAACCUGCACUUCCCUGACUGUAUGGCUCACCCUGCAUACCAUGCCUUUUACAGAUGAGACACUCUGGGACCCCUCUUCUUGCCAUUGUUUUGCCACCUUAUAGAAAAUGUUAAAAAUUGAAUCAAAAGAAAUAUUGCAUUUCAAUGUGAAUACACUGUUGACUGUUAAUAAACGGUACAUAUAAUUCUACAAAGCACCACCUUAAAAGCAUUGUUACAUCGUCAUUGGCUAUUUCACGAUAAUGCCUGUGCUUCUACAGUACUGUAUCUGCUGUUCAAAUGGGACUUAUUAAUCAUUGGGUAGAACAAAAAACAACCCACAGGAUGUAAAUUCAAGAACAUAAUCAGACUGGAGGAGCAAUCAGGGCCAGCUUAUGCCUGAAUGUCAUUCUAAUUACACAGAACAUUUGUUAUUAAAUGAAAGUGCACUAAGAGCAUGGAAGUCAGGCUGCCUAUAAAUUUUUUUUUAAC